Molecule: ribosomal RNA, 547 nt
Filed under: Bacillus sp. (in: firmicutes)
Lineage: Bacteria; Bacillati; Bacillota; Bacilli; Caryophanales; Bacillaceae
Description: bacterial SSU rRNA
Rfam family: Bacterial small subunit ribosomal RNA
Source: RNAcentral
UUUCGGCUGUCACUUACAGAUGGACCCGCGGCGCAUUAGCUAGUUGGUGAGGUAACGGCUCACCAAGGCGACGAUGCGUAGCCGACCUGAGAGGGUGAUCGGCCACACUGGGACUGAGACACGGCCCAGACUCCUACGGGAGGCAGCAGUAGGGAAUCUUCCGCAAUGGACGAAAGUCUGACGGAGCAACGCCGCGUGAGUGAUGAAGGUUUUCGGAUCGUAAAGCUCUGUUGUUAGGGAAGAACAAGUGCAAGAGUAACUGCUUGCACCUUGACGGUACCUAACCAGAAAGCCACGGCUAACUACGUGCCAGCAGCCGCGGUAAUACGUAGGUGGCAAGCGUUGUCCGGAAUUAUUGGGCGUAAAGGGCUCGCAGGCGGUUUCUUAAGUCUGAUGUGAAAGCCCCCGGCUCAACCGGGGAGGGUCAUUGGAAACUGGGAAACUUGAGUGCAGAAGAGGAGAGUGGAAUUCCACGUGUAGCGGUGAAAUGCGUAGAGAUGUGGAGGAACACCAGUGGCGAAGGCGACUCUCUGGUCUGUAACUGACG